This 459-nucleotide ribosomal RNA is filed under the name uncultured bacterium. Its description in RNAcentral is "partial 16S ribosomal RNA". It matches the Rfam family "Bacterial small subunit ribosomal RNA", at positions 338 to 795 of the family's 1533-position model. The record is from RNAcentral.
CCUACGGGUGGCAGCAGUGAGGAAUAUUGGUCAAUGGGCGCGAGCCUGAACCAGCCAAGUCGCGUGAGGGAAGACGGUCCUAUGGGUUGUAAACCUCUUUUGUCGGGGAGAAAAAGGCGCCACGCGUGGCGUUCCCAGAGUACCCGAAUGAAAAGCAUCGGCUAACUCCGUUCCAGCAGCCGCGGUAAUACGGAGGAUGCGAGCGUUAUCCGGGUUUGUUGGGGUUAAGGGGUGCGCAGGCGGAAGAUAAAGUCAGCGGUAAAAUUUGGGGGCUCAACCUCGUCGAGCCGUUGAAACUGGUGUUCUUGAGUGAGCGAGAAGUAUGCGGAAUGCGUGGUGUAGCGGUGAAAUGCAUAGAUAUCACGCAGAACUCCGAUUGCGAAGGCAGCAUACCGGCGCUCAACUGACGCUGAGGCACGAAAGUGUGGGUAUCGAACAGGAUUAGAUACCCCAGUAGUC